Molecule: ribosomal RNA, 465 nt
Filed under: uncultured bacterium
Lineage: Bacteria
Description: partial 16S ribosomal RNA
Rfam family: Bacterial small subunit ribosomal RNA
Source: RNAcentral
CCUACGGGAGGCAGCAGUGGGGAAUCUUGCGCAAUGGGCGAAAGCCUGACGCAGCGACGCCGCGUGAGGGAUGAAGGUCUUCGGAUCGUAAACCUCUGUCAGCAGUGAAGAACGGUCGCUGUGCUAAUCAGCCGUGAAUUGACGGUACCUGCAUAGAAAGCACCGGCUAACUCCGUGCCAGCAGCCGCGGUAAUACGGAGGGUGCGAGCGUUAAUCGGAAUUACUGGGCGUAAAGCGCUCGUAGGCGGUAUGUCAAGUCAAGGGUGAAAUCCCCGCGCUCAACGUGGGAACUGCCUUUGAAACUGGCAAACUGGAGUGUGUGAGAGGAUAGUGGAAUUCCAGGUGUAGGAGUGACAGCCGUAGAUAUCUGGAGGAACAUCAGUGGCGAAGGCGACUAUCUGGCACAUAACUGACGCUGAGGAGCGAAAGCGUGGGUAGCAAACAGGAUUAGAUACCCGAGUAGUC